RNAcentral lists this long non-coding RNA (377 nucleotides) under Olea europaea subsp. europaea. Lineage: Eukaryota; Viridiplantae; Streptophyta; Magnoliopsida; Lamiales; Oleaceae. The record is from RNAcentral.
UGAAAAAACAUUUCUAUAUCAGCAAAGUUCCUCUCUUUACCAUUUACCAAAAAUAUUGUUUUGGUGUUCGGUUUUAUUCCUUUUUUACAACUUGGGCAGGACAGAGUUGAUAUACAAACGAGAGCAUAACAGACAUUGAUGGAUAAGGAAAUGUUGAUCUCUGAGGUCUGAAAAUAAAGAGAUUGAUGCAUCAAGAAGGAACAAUUCCUUUGUGUCUUUGUUCUGCUUUUAUAUUUCUGGGCAUUCGGGAUUUCAGACUCUAAUCGUUUGUAAUAUAUUGAACGAACUCCUUACUCCGUUAAUCCUUUCUAAGUCUGUUUUUUCAGCUCUCAGGGUUUGAUGUUCUUCAGAAUAUAGGUACAUUACAAUUAUUUUCU